RNAcentral lists this long non-coding RNA (328 nucleotides) under Homo sapiens (human). RNAcentral's name for it is "non-protein coding lnc-CDY2B-2:1". Lineage: Eukaryota; Metazoa; Chordata; Mammalia; Primates; Hominidae. The record is from RNAcentral.
AUGGAUGAAGAAAAGAAAACCUCUAGCGGUUUUGAAAACCCUAAUGCCAUGAUGUCAAAUAAAUAUCUUUUGAGUAAUAAAUUUUUAUAAAAGAUCCUUCACAAACAUCAGCAAUAAUGAAACCCUUGUUGAGUGGCCCAGGUCAUUUUGCUGAGAAGAGAACCAUUGAGGUCAAUUUGAGAGACAUCCCUUCCUGAGCACUGUCAAGAGCAUGGACAUAUUUUACCUACACAUUUUACUACACCUACAGCUCCACAGGGACUUUUAAAUUCUGAUUUCACAUAAACCUGCACUAGAAUUUCUGACAGCUGUAAACUUUCUAGAUUGU